Molecule: non-coding RNA, 97 nt
Filed under: Legionella nautarum
Lineage: Bacteria; Pseudomonadati; Pseudomonadota; Gammaproteobacteria; Legionellales; Legionellaceae
Description: TPP sequence
Rfam family: TPP riboswitch aptamer (THI element)
About the family: Vitamin B(1) in its active form thiamin pyrophosphate (TPP) is an essential coenzyme that is synthesised by coupling of pyrimidine and thiazole moieties in bacteria. The previously detected thiamin-regulatory element, thi box was extended, resulting in a new, highly conserved RNA secondary structure, the THI element, which is widely distributed in eubacteria and also occurs in some archaea.
Source: Rfam by way of RNAcentral
CAAAUUCACCAGGGGUGCUUUGUUCCUCAAAGCUGAGAAACACCCUUAGAACCUGCACUGGGUAAUGCCUGCGGAGGGAGAGUGAGCUUGAUUAGCC